Molecule: ribosomal RNA, 430 nt
Filed under: uncultured bacterium
Lineage: Bacteria
Description: partial 16S ribosomal RNA
Rfam family: Bacterial small subunit ribosomal RNA
Source: RNAcentral
ACGAGCGCUGGCGGCAUGCCUAACACAUGCAAGUCGAACGAGACCUUCGGGUCUAGUGGCGCACGGGUGCGUAACGCGUGGGAACCUGCCCUUAGGUUCGGAAUAACUCCCCGAAAGGGGUGCUAAUACCGGAUAAUGUCUUCGGACCAAAGAUUUAUCGCCUUUGGAUGGGCCCGCGUUGGAUUAGCUAGUUGGUAGGGUAAAAGCCUACCAAGGCGACGAUCCAUAGCUGGUCUGAGAGGAUGAUCAGCCACACUGGGACUGAGACACGGCCCAGACUCCUACGGGAGGCAGAAGGGGGGAAUAGUGGACAAGGGGCGAAAGCCUGAUCCAGCAAUGCCGCGUGAGUGAUAAAGGCCUUAGGGUUGUAAAGCUCUUUUACCCGGGAUGAUAAUGACAGGACGGGGAGAAUAAGCUCCGGCUACCUCCG